GACGAACGCUGGCGGCGUGCUUAACACAUGCAAGUCGAGCGGUAAGGCCCUUUCGGGGGUACACGAGCGGCGAACGGGUGAGUAACACGUGGGUGACCUGCCCUCAGCUCUGGGAUAAGCCUGGGAAACCGGGUCUAAUACCGGAUAUGACUCCAUGACGCAUGUUGUGGGGUGGAAAGCCUUGUGCGGCUGAGGAUGGGCCCGCGGCCUAUCAGCUUGUUGGUGGGGUGANGGCCUACCAAGGCGACGACGGGUAGCCGGCCUGAGAGGGCGACCGGCCACACGUGGGACUGAGACACGGCCCAGACUCCGUACGGGAGGCAGCAGGUGGGGAAUCUUGCGCAAUGGGCGAAAGCCUGACGCAGCGACGCCGCGU
This 376-nucleotide ribosomal RNA is filed under the name uncultured bacterium. RNAcentral's name for it is "bacterial SSU rRNA". It matches the Rfam family "Bacterial small subunit ribosomal RNA", at positions 28 to 402 of the family's 1533-position model. The record is from RNAcentral.